This 216-nucleotide long non-coding RNA is filed under the name Musa acuminata (dwarf banana). RNAcentral describes it as "long non-coding RNA (MACU_LNC000653)". Lineage: Eukaryota; Viridiplantae; Streptophyta; Magnoliopsida; Zingiberales; Musaceae. The record is from RNAcentral.
UUGAAAAAGAAAACAAAGGAAUGAGAGUAAGAGAGAGUAGGUGACUAUGCCUCUAUGUUCUGCAUGAGCUGCAGUUGUGGAGGAAAAAGAGAAGACAUAUGUAGAAAACGAAACAGGGAGAGGACACGGAGGAAAAGUAGAAGGAUUUGGGCUGACACCUUCUUUGGAUCUUCGGAUCAAAAUCUUUGAAAGGCAAGUGUUCCGAUCCUUCCUAUU